This 492-nucleotide ribosomal RNA is filed under the name uncultured bacterium. RNAcentral describes it as "partial 16S ribosomal RNA". It matches the Rfam family "Bacterial small subunit ribosomal RNA", at positions 29 to 507 of the family's 1533-position model. The record is from RNAcentral.
AGUGAACGCUGGCGGUAGGCCUAACACAUGCAAGUCGAACGGCAGCACAGUAAGAGCUUGCUCUUACGGGUGGCGAGUGGCGGACGGGUGAGGAAUACAUCGGAAUCUACUUUUUCGUGGGGGAUAACGUAGGGAAACUUACGCUAAUACCGCAUACGACCUACGGGUGAAAGCAGGGGAUCUUCGGACCUUGCGCGAUUGAAUGAGCCGAUGUCGGAUUAGCUAGUUGGCGGGGUAAAGGCCCACCAAGGCGACGAUCCGUAGCUGGUCUGAGAGGAUGAUCAGGCACACUGGGACUGAGACACGGUCCCGACUCCUACGGGAGGCAGCAGUGGGGAAUAUUGGACAAUGGGCGCAAGCCUGAUCCAGCCAUACCGCGUGGGUGAAGAAGGCCUUCGGGUUGUAAAGCCCUUUUGUUGGGAAAGAAAAGCAGCAGGUUAAUACCCCGCUGUUCUGACGGUACCCAAAGAAUAAGCAACGGCUAACUUCGUG